AGUGAACGUUGGCGGCGUGGAUUAGGCAUGCAAGUCGAGCGAGAACCGUAGCAAUACGGGGACAGCGGCGAAAGGGACAGUAAUGUGUAGGUACCUACCCCGAGGUCUGGGAUAGCUGCGGGAAACUGCAGGUAAUACCGGAUAAUGUCUUCGGACCAAAGGUGUGAUUCCACCUUGGGAGGGGCCUGCAUCCUAUUAGCUUGUUGGCGGGGUAACGGCCCACCAAGGCGACGAUGGGUAGCGGGUGUGAGAGCACGACCCGCGUCAUUGGGACUGAGACACUGCCCAGACACCUACGGGUGGCUGCAGUCGAGGAUCUUCGGCAAUGGGCGCAAGCCUGACCGAGCGACGCCGCGUGCGGGAUGAAGGCCUUCGGGUUGUAAACCGCUGUCGUAGAGGAGGAAAUGCAGGGGGGUUCUCCCUUCUGUUUGACCUAUUCUAGGAGGAAGGACGGGCUAAGUUCGUGCCAGCCGCCGCCGCGG
This 482-nucleotide ribosomal RNA is filed under the name uncultured bacterium. RNAcentral describes it as "partial 16S ribosomal RNA". It matches the Rfam family "Bacterial small subunit ribosomal RNA", at positions 28 to 523 of the family's 1533-position model. The record is from RNAcentral.